Molecule: ribosomal RNA, 443 nt
Filed under: uncultured bacterium
Lineage: Bacteria
Description: partial 16S ribosomal RNA
Rfam family: Bacterial small subunit ribosomal RNA
Source: RNAcentral
CCUACGGGGUGCAGCAGUGGGGAAUAUUGGGCAAUGGGCGCAAGCCUUACCCAGCAAUACCGCGUGAGUGAAGAAGGUCUUCGGAUUGUAAAGCUCUUUGAUCAGGGACGAACAGAUGACGGUACCUGAAGAACAAGCGCCGGCUAACUACGUGCCAGCAGCCGCGGUAAAACGUAGGGGGCGAGCGUUGUCCGGAAUGACUGGGCGUAAAGGGUGCGUAGGCGGCAUAAGAAGUGAGAAGUGAAAUACCCAGAGAUUAACUCGGGUGCUGCUUCUAAGAAUGGUGAGCUUGAGUGCGAGAGAGGUUAGUGGAAUGCCUGGUGUAGCGGUGGAAUGCGUAGAUAUUAGGAGGAACCCCAGAGGCGAAGGCGAUUAACUGGACCCUAACUGACGCUGAGGCACGAAAGUGUGGGUAGCAAACAGGAUUAGAUACCCCGGUAGUC